Molecule: ribosomal RNA, 425 nt
Filed under: uncultured bacterium
Lineage: Bacteria
Description: partial 16S ribosomal RNA
Rfam family: Bacterial small subunit ribosomal RNA
Source: RNAcentral
GUGGGGAAUAUUGGACAAUGGGCGCAAGCCUGAUCCAGCAAUGCCGCGUGGGUGAAGAAGGUCUUCGGAUCGUAAAGCCCUUUCGACAGGGACGAUGAUGACGGUACCUGUAGAAGAAGCCCCGGCUAACUUCGUGCCAGCAGCCGCGGUAAUACGAAGGGGGCUAGCGUUACUCGGAAUUACUGGGCGUAAAGGGCGCGUAGGCGGCUCUGUUAGUCAGGCGUGAAAUUCCUGGGCUUAACCUGGGGACUGCGCUUGAUACUGCAGGGCUUGAGGACGAGAGAGGGUGGUGGAAUUCCCAGUGUAGAGGUGAAAUUCGUAGAUAUUGGGAAGAACACCGGUGGCGAAGGCGACCACCUGGCUCGGUUCUGACGCUGAGGCGCGACAGCGUGGGGAGCAAACAGGAUUAGAUACCCGGGUAGUCC